Long non-coding RNA from Xiphophorus hellerii (green swordtail), 1296 nucleotides. RefSeq lists it as uncharacterized. The transcript has 4 exons. NCBI's taxonomy places the organism in Eukaryota, Metazoa, Chordata, Actinopteri, Cyprinodontiformes, Poeciliidae. The record is from RefSeq and is a predicted model, not a curated record.
AUUGCACAUUUCAUUUGAAAACAUCCGUAUAUGAGGCUUUCUAAAAACCGCUUCAACAACCUGGAAAUCUUCUUAAGAUAAGUUUUUCCUCUCAGAAAAUGCAGUUUUCAGAUUCUCUCAGUGGGAUUAUUUGGAUCAACGUCCAUGUCUGCCUCCCUUUUACUUUCCUGCUUAUCACUUUGUGCUGUCUGGUGCGGUUGGAUGGUGCUCCGGUCUCCUACUACAUGAACCUUUUGCUCUCUAAUCUAGUCCAGCUCAUCAUUCUGAUCGCUUUACCUCAACAUUCAGAUUAUCACUGGAAACAUCUGGACUCUGUUCACGUCUAUGCCUGCUGCGUUUUGGCCAGUCUCUACUUCAGGACGGUCAUAGCUCUGGAAAGGUGUUUUUUAAUUUCCUUCUCGCUGCAAUACAGUGUGACACAAACCAAAGGCUUGGUGAUCGUCUGUGUUUUGAUCUGGGUGUUCAGUUUUGGUUUGGGCCUUCUGUUUUUAAAGUUCCUUCAUGGACUGUUGUUCCUGGGUUUUGCGCUCCUUCCUGCUCCUGUGUUCAUUGUGUGUCUGCUUUGGACCCUCAAAUCGAUAAACACAAACUUAUCAGUGUCAUCUGAAGAAAAAGACAGAACUAUGGGAAUGCUUCUGGUUUUGCUGGUUAAUUACACCGUCUCAAUCUUCCCUGCAGUUAUUUAUUAUAUUUACUUAGGAGAUUUUAAUCGCUAUUAUUUUAAAAUUGCUGAUUUUUUCCUGACCCUGUUUCUCUUUGGUCCAUGUAUGGAUUUGUUCUUGUUCGUUUUCAUGUGCAAAGGACUUAUUGACAAGCUGCUGGUGUGUCUGUGCAGCUGCAGGAAGGAAACCAGUGAAGGAUCUCAUCUCAGCAGCUCAUCAGCUUGAAUACUGUAAAGAAAUACAUUUACUUUUAGUUUAAUAAAACAAACAGAUCCAAUUUAUAUGCAGACAUAAGGAGUCUGCAUAUAAAUCAUAUUCAUCUGACCAGGCAGAGAUUUGAAACCAUGUAAUAUAUUCAGCAGAGAAAACUGAUUUAAUUGAACUAUUCAAAAUUAUUGUGUGAAAUUCAACAACUUCUAUAAUAUUUUUAGAUUGUUGCUUUACAUUUUUAAAGCUCCUUUGCCUUACAGGUUUCUGCUUUGGUCAAAAUUUACUGAUUUUUUUUUUUAUUUUGAAGGAAAAAAAGUUAAUCAUGUGAAAUAUGAGUAAUGAAAUUGUGAUUGUGCCAUGCUAUAAAUAAAGAAUAUACUUGUUGUCACUCGCUGUGUUGUGAUAUUGGUGUCACAAAUCUACU